Molecule: non-coding RNA, 53 nt
Filed under: Spodoptera frugiperda (fall armyworm)
Lineage: Eukaryota; Metazoa; Arthropoda; Insecta; Lepidoptera; Noctuidae
Source: RNAcentral
UUGGUCAACGUUCAACACAGCAGUUCAGUUGCUGUUUUGGACAUUGGUGUAAG